UUACCUGGGUUUGACAUGUAACUGCUACUGAUAGAAAUAUUGGGUUCUGUAGAAAUACAGACGGUUACACAGGUGCUGCAUGGCUGUCGUCAGCUCGUGUCGUGAGACGUCGGGUUAAGUCCUUGAACGAGCGCAACCCUUGCCGUUAGUUGCCUGUCGUAAGGCGGCACUCUAGCGGGACUGCCUAGGAAACUAGGAGGAAGGUGGGGAUGACGUCAAGUCCUCAUGGCCCUUAUACCCAGGGCUACACGCGUGUUACAAUGGCGAGCUACAAGGGGAUACGAAGUCGCGAGAUGGAGUAAAUCCUUCAAAAUUCGUCUAAGUUCAGAUUGUAGUCUGCAACCCGACUACAUGAAGUUGAAAUCGCUAGUAAUCGCAUAUCAGAACGAUGCGGUGAAUGCGUUCUCGGACCUUGUACACACCGCCCGUCACACCAUGAGAGCCGUCGGCACCCGAAAUUAUCUUAACUAACUGGGAAACCAGGGGUGGAUAAUGAAGGUGAAGAGGGUGAUUGGGGUGAAGUCGUAACAAGGUAGCC
RNAcentral lists this ribosomal RNA (538 nucleotides) under uncultured bacterium. RNAcentral describes it as "bacterial SSU rRNA". It matches the Rfam family "Bacterial small subunit ribosomal RNA", at positions 971 to 1501 of the family's 1533-position model. The record is from RNAcentral.